UGUGUAGGCGGUUGUUUAAGUUUGGUGUGAAAUCUCCCGGCUCAACCGGGAGGGUGCGCCGAAUACUGAGCGACUAGAGUGCGGGAGAGGAGAGUGGAAUUCCUGGUGUAGCGGUGAAAUGCGUAGAUAUCAGGAGGAACACCGGCGGUGUAGACGGCUCUCUGGACCGCGACUGACGCUGAGACACGAAAGCGUGGGUAGCAAACAGGAUUAGAUACCCUGGUAGUCCACGCCCUAAACGAUGCAUAUUUGGUGUGGGCAGUUCAUUCUGUCCGUGCCGGAGCUAACGCGUUAAAUAUGCCGCCUGGGGAGUACAGUCGCAAGGCUGAA
RNAcentral lists this ribosomal RNA (330 nucleotides) under uncultured bacterium. RNAcentral describes it as "bacterial SSU rRNA". It matches the Rfam family "Bacterial small subunit ribosomal RNA", at positions 568 to 898 of the family's 1533-position model. The record is from RNAcentral.